CCUACGGGUGGCAGCAGUAGGGAAUCUUCCACAAUGGGCGAAAGCCUGAUGGAGCAACGCCGCGUGGGUGAAGAAGGUCUUCGGAUCGUAAAACCCUGUUGUUAGAGAAGAAAGUGCGUGAGAGUAACUGUUCACGUUUCGACGGAAUCUAACCAGAAAGCCACGGCUAAAUACGUGCCAGCAGCCGCGGUAAUACGUAGGUGGCAAGCGUUAUCUGGAUUUAUUGGGCGAAAAGGGAACGAAGGCGGUCUUGUAAGUAUGCUGUGAAAGCCUUCGGCUUAACCGGAGUAGUGCAUUGGAAACUGGGUGACUUGAGUGCAGAAGAGGCGAGUGGAACUCCAGGUGUAGCGGUGAAAUGCGUAGAUAUAUGGAAGAACACCAGUGGCGAAAGCGGCUCUCUGGUCUGUAACUGACGCUGAGGUUCGAAAGCGUGGGUAGCAAACAGGAUUAGAUACCCUUGUAGUC
This 465-nucleotide ribosomal RNA is filed under the name uncultured bacterium. Its description in RNAcentral is "partial 16S ribosomal RNA". It matches the Rfam family "Bacterial small subunit ribosomal RNA", at positions 338 to 795 of the family's 1533-position model. The record is from RNAcentral.